AUUCCUCCUUUCUGAAGAACUGUAAUGUCAUUAAUUUGGUGUUGCAGGGAAACAGGACUGUUACUUUGAAAAAAUUAGAGUGUUUAAAGCAGGCUAACGCUUGAAUACAUUAGCAUGGAAUAAUGAAAUAGGACGUUCGAUCCUAUUUUGUUGGUUUCUAGGAUUGACGUAAUGAUUAAUAGGGAUAGUUGGGGGCAUUAGUAUUCAAUUGUCAGAGGUGAAAUUCUUGGAUUUAUUGAAGACUAACUACUGCGAAAGCAUUUGCCAAGGAUGUUUUCAUUAAUCAAGAACGAAAGUUAGGGGAUCGAAGACGAUCAGAUACCGUCGUAGUCUUAACCAUAAACUAUGCCGACUAGGGAUCGGAUGAUGUUAAUUUUUUAAUGACUCAUUCGGCGCCUUACG
This 402-nucleotide ribosomal RNA is filed under the name uncultured Glomeromycotina. RNAcentral's name for it is "SSU rRNA". It matches the Rfam family "Eukaryotic small subunit ribosomal RNA", at positions 692 to 1092 of the family's 1831-position model. Lineage: Eukaryota; Fungi; Glomeromycota. The record is from RNAcentral.